Molecule: unclassified non-coding RNA, 274 nt
Filed under: uncultured fungus
Lineage: Eukaryota; Fungi
Description: partial contains 5.8S ribosomal RNA, internal transcribed spacer 2, and large subunit ribosomal RNA
Source: RNAcentral
AAGGAUCAUUACAACGUAUCCACGUACAAACCAAAACUGUGAACUGUUUCCCUUUGGAGUGGCAAUUGCAAACUGAAUCAGGACCUUAAUAGUGAAUGUGAUGGGACUGAUUCGGGCUACUCUGAAGUGGUUUAUCUCAAAAUCACAUUUCACAAUUAUUAACCCUUUGAACCUUUUAAUGAACUGAACUGUGGAUGCUUUGUUGCAAAACAAUUCAUCUAUCAUAUAUUACGAAACAAAAGAACAACUCUUAACAACGGAUAUCUUGGUUCUC